This 433-nucleotide ribosomal RNA is filed under the name uncultured bacterium. RNAcentral's name for it is "partial 16S ribosomal RNA". It matches the Rfam family "Bacterial small subunit ribosomal RNA", at positions 29 to 507 of the family's 1533-position model. The record is from RNAcentral.
AACGAACGCUGGCGGCAUGCCUAACACAUGCAAGUCGAACGAGACCUUCGGGUCUAGUGGCGCACGGGUGCGUAACGCGUAGGAACCUGCCCUUAGGUUCGGAAUAACUCCCCGAAAGGGGUGCUAAUACCGGAUAAUGUCUUCGGACCAAAGAUUUAUCGCCUUUGGAUGGGCCCGCGUUGGAUUAGCUAGUUGGUAGGGUAAAAGCCUACCAAGGCGACGAUCCAUAGCUGGUCUGAGAGGAUGAUCAGCCACACUGGGACUGAGACACGGCCCAGACUCCUACGGGAGGCAGCAGUGGGGAAUAGUGGACAAUGGGCGAAAGCCUGAUCCAGCAAUGCCGCGUGAGUGAUGAAGGCCUUAGGGUUGUAAAGCUCUUUUAACCGGGAUGAUAAUGACAGUACCGGGAGAAUAAGCUCCGGCUAACUCCGUG